RNAcentral lists this small nuclear RNA (23 nucleotides) under Arabidopsis thaliana (thale cress). Its description in RNAcentral is "snRNA_14364". Lineage: Eukaryota; Viridiplantae; Streptophyta; Magnoliopsida; Brassicales; Brassicaceae. The record is from RNAcentral.
ACGAGAUUCCCACUGUCCCUGUC